AUUGGCGGGGUGUGGCUGCGUCCCAGGGCGGGGAAUACCGUAAUGGCGGACACGGGCCGGGCGAGCGCGGCUGGGGGCGUAGCGCGCUGAGGGGGGUCCGGCAGUGUGGCAGCCCGCGAGGCGGUCCGCAGGAGUACACUCUGUGCGGAGACUGUGCGGCCGGCCGGCCUUUCCUGUCGCUGACGGCGACUGCGGGAGGCCAGGUUGUUUUUCAUCAUUCAGAACAUUGCCUGAAGCAGGUCCACCAUGCCGUUAGUAACGAGGAACAUCGAGCCAAGGCACCUGUGCCGUCAGACGUUGCCUAGCGUUAGAAGCGAGCUGGAAUGCGUGACCAACAUCACCCUGGCAAAUGUCAUCCGACAGCUGGGCAGCCUGACUAUAUUUCCAGGGUGGUGUUGAUGGAUGCCGUUGCUCACACUCCCACUUGUGAUCAGACCACUCCUAUCUUGAGGAAGCUGCUCUGAGGGCCAAAGCCACCUUAUGCCCAAGGAAACAAGAUUUUCUUACAUUGUGGGGGCUAACUGACCCUUUAUUCAUCCAAUAAACAUGUGUUGAACAUAUUUUAUGUACCAGAUGCUGAGGGGAUACAGCAAAAGAAAUGGUCUCCAUCCUCCAGGAGCUCAUAAUCUAUAAGGGGAGGCAGAAAUAAAUAAUUCCUAAGAGGAGAGAAUGGGGAGAGAGUGAGAAGGGAACCCACAUUUGUUGAUUGCCUACUUUAUGCCAGGUUUGGAUAAGAUCUUGACAUAGAUUAUCUCAUUUAAUCUUCUCAGUAAUCCUAUGAGAUUAGGUGGUGGUAUGCCCAUUUUUCAGAUAAAGAAAAUAAGGCUCAGAAAAGUAAGGUAACUUGUCUAGGCACAGUGGCUCACGC
Long non-coding RNA from Piliocolobus tephrosceles (Ugandan red Colobus), 868 nucleotides. RefSeq lists it as uncharacterized. The record is from RefSeq and is a predicted model, not a curated record. The transcript has 3 exons. Lineage: Eukaryota; Metazoa; Chordata; Mammalia; Primates; Cercopithecidae.